This is a non-coding RNA of Misgurnus anguillicaudatus (oriental weatherfish), 763 nucleotides long. The record is from RefSeq and is a predicted model, not a curated record. Lineage: Eukaryota; Metazoa; Chordata; Actinopteri; Cypriniformes; Cobitidae.
CGGAGAUUCUGGGAAGCUUUUUCCGAACAGGCUCACAUUCCCAGAGCCAAACACUUGAUGUAACGAAUGAGGUCAAUGUUUAUGAAUCUACCUCACUAUGUGAUAAAAUCAAUCACUUCCAUUUAAUUCCAGGUCUCAAAUCUUCCCAGCCAUGAUGAGAGAUUUUGUUGAUCACUGGUCGUUUCACUGGGAUCCAACAUUCAUUAGACCCAAAUCCACUCCUCGUGAAUAUUAAACAUCGCACCUGACUUUCUGGAAAAGCAAGAGUCAUGAAUAUACAAGAAUCCCCGGGGAAAUCAGAGUCUUUCAGAGCCACCCUGCCUGGAGUGCCGUCCUCUCGCUCGCUGUGACAGGACCUUGUACCGAACCGAAAAGAAGGCAGUAAAGAGACAGCUGAUUUCCACUGCGGUACACCACCUAAAACCAUCUCACCAUUCACUCUGCACUGCUCGGAGACAUCAGUCAUGUUGUAGAUGUUCAGCAGGCUGUGAAUCCAUCAAGCGCUAAAUGGAAGGAGUUGCUGCAGAAGUCUUAAACCUCUGAACUGCUGUUUGUGGAGAAGAAAUCAUUCGCAUACAAAUGAAGCUUCUGUCAUACGUCGUCAUUUAUGUCAAACCUGAAGCGUCCAACAAAACACCUAACCUGAGGUGCCGGCAUAUUGGUUUUGAGAGUUGUUGCGCAAUGAGGAGAUUGUUUAUCUUGUAAACACUUACGAAAAUGAUUUCAGAAAAGUUUGAAAAUAUUUAAAGCUAUUUGGACUAUA